AUUGAACGCUGGCGGCAUGCUUUACACAUGCAAGUCGAACGGUAGCGCGGGCUUCGGCCUGGCGGCGAGUGGCGAACGGGUGAGUAAUGCAUCGGAACGUGCCCAGUAGUGGGGGAUAGCCCGGCGAAAGCCGGAUUAAUACCGCAUACGACCUGAGGGUGAAAGCGGGGGACCGAAAGGCCUCGCGCUAUUGGAGCGGCCGAUGUCGGAUUAGCUAGUUGGUGGGGUAAAGGCUUACCAAGGCGACGAUCCGUAGCUGGUCUGAGAGGACGACCAGCCACACUGGGACUGAGACACGGCCCAGACUCCUACGGGAGGCAGCAGUGGGGAAUUUUGGACAAUGGGGGCAACCCUGAUCCAGCCAUGCCGCGUGCGGGGAGAAGGCCUGCGGGUUGUAAACCGCUUUUGUUCGGGAAGAAAUCCUCUGGGCCAAUACCCCGGGGGGAUGACGGUACCGGAAGAAUAAGCACCGGCUAACUGCGUGCCAGCCGCCGCUGUAA
Molecule: ribosomal RNA, 500 nt
Filed under: uncultured bacterium
Lineage: Bacteria
Description: partial 16S ribosomal RNA
Rfam family: Bacterial small subunit ribosomal RNA
Source: RNAcentral